AUACUUACUUGGCAGGGAAGACAUGUGAUCACCAAAGUGAUCUUCCCAGGCUGAGGCUUAUCCAUGGCGCUCUGAAUGUGCUGACCCCUGUGAUUUCCCCAAAUGUGGGAACCUUAGCCACAUAAUUUGUGGUGGCAAGGGAUUAAAUUUGUGCUUUCUCCUG
This is a small nuclear RNA of Talpa occidentalis (Iberian mole), 163 nucleotides long. RefSeq annotates it as U1 spliceosomal RNA. The transcript has a single exon. Lineage: Eukaryota; Metazoa; Chordata; Mammalia; Eulipotyphla; Talpidae. The record is from RefSeq and is a predicted model, not a curated record.